UAGGGAAUCUUCGGCAAUGGACGAAAGUCUGACCGAGCAACGCCGCGUGAGUGAAGAAGGUUUUCGGAUCGUAAAACUCUGUUGUUAGAGAAGAACAACGACGUUAGUAACUGAACGUCCCCUGACGGUAUCUAACCAGAAAGCCACGGCUAACUACGUGCCAGCAGCCGCGGUAUUACGUAGGUGGCAAGCGUUGUCUGGAUUUAUUGGGCGUAAAGCGAGCGCAGGCGGUUUCUUAAGUCUGAUGUGAAAGCCCCCGGCUCAACCGGGGAGGGUCAUUGGAAACUGGGAGACUUGAGUGCAGAAGAGGAGAGUGGAAUUCCAUGUGUAGCGGUGAAAUGCGUAGAUAUAUGGAGGAACACCAGUGGCGAAGGCGGCUCUCUGGUCUGUAACUGACGCUGAGGCUCGAAAGCGUGGGGAGCAAACAGG
RNAcentral lists this ribosomal RNA (429 nucleotides) under Gemmatimonadota bacterium. Its description in RNAcentral is "Gemmatimonadetes bacterium partial 16S ribosomal RNA". It matches the Rfam family "Bacterial small subunit ribosomal RNA", at positions 355 to 776 of the family's 1533-position model. The record is from RNAcentral. Lineage: Bacteria; Pseudomonadati; Gemmatimonadota.